UACAGAGGCCACAAGCGUUAAUCGGAAUCACUGGGCUUAAAGGGUGCGUAGGCGGGUCCGCAAGUGUCUUGUGAAAUCCCCCGGCUCAACCGGGGAAUUGCAGGGCAUACUGCGGAUCUUGAGGCAGGUAGGGGUCGCGAGAACAGUGGGUGGAGCGGUGAAAUGCGUAGAUAUCCACUGGAAUGCCGAUGGUGAAGACAGCUAACUAAACUUUUACUGACGCUGAGGCACGAAAGUGUGGGGAUCAAACAGG
Molecule: ribosomal RNA, 253 nt
Filed under: uncultured bacterium
Lineage: Bacteria
Description: partial 16S ribosomal RNA
Rfam family: Bacterial small subunit ribosomal RNA
Source: RNAcentral